Molecule: ribosomal RNA, 465 nt
Filed under: Vreelandella stevensii
Lineage: Bacteria; Pseudomonadati; Pseudomonadota; Gammaproteobacteria; Oceanospirillales; Halomonadaceae
Description: partial 16S ribosomal RNA
Rfam family: Bacterial small subunit ribosomal RNA
Source: RNAcentral
CCUACGGGGGGCAGCAGUGGGGAAUAUUGGACAAUGGGGGGAACCCUGAUCCAGCCAUGCCGCGUGUGUGAAGAAGGCCCUCGGGUUGUAAAGCACUUUCAGUGAGGAAGAACGCCUGGUGGUUAAUACCCAUCAGGAAAGACAUCACUCACAGAAGAAGCACCGGCUAACUCCGUGCCAGCAGCCGCGGUAAUACGGAGGGUGCGAGCGUUAAUCGGAAUUACUGGGCGUAAAGCGCGCGUAGGUGGCUUGAUAAGCCGGUUGUGAAAGCCCCGGGCUCAACCUGGGAACGGCAUCCGGAACUGUCAAGCUAGAGUGCAGGAGAGGAAGGUAGAAUUCCCGGUGUAGCGGGGAAAUGCGUAGAGAUCGGGAGGAAUACCAGUGGCGAAGGCGGCCUUCUGGACUGACACUGACACUGAGGUGCGAAAGCGUGGGUAGCAAACAGGAUUAGAUACCCGGGUAGUC